Molecule: transfer RNA, 88 nt
Filed under: Providencia stuartii
Lineage: Bacteria; Pseudomonadati; Pseudomonadota; Gammaproteobacteria; Enterobacterales; Morganellaceae
Description: tRNA-Leu
Rfam family: tRNA
About the family: Transfer RNA (tRNA) molecules are approximately 80 nucleotides in length. Their secondary structure includes four short double-helical elements and three loops (D, anti-codon, and T loops). Further hydrogen bonds mediate the characteristic L-shaped molecular structure. tRNAs have two regions of fundamental functional importance: the anti-codon, which is responsible for specific mRNA codon recognition, and the 3' end, to which the tRNAs corresponding amino acid is attached (by aminoacyl-tRNA synthetases). tRNAs cope with the degeneracy of the genetic code in two manners: having more than one tRNA (with a specific anti-codon) for a particular amino acid; and 'wobble' base-pairing, i.e. permitting non-standard base-pairing at the 3rd anti-codon position.
Source: RNAcentral
GCGAGGGUGGCGGAAUUGGUAGACGCGCUAGCUUCAGGUGUUAGUGUCCUCAGGACGUGGGGGUUCAAGUCCCCCCCCUUUCGCACCA